RNAcentral lists this ribosomal RNA (253 nucleotides) under uncultured bacterium. RNAcentral's name for it is "partial 16S ribosomal RNA". It matches the Rfam family "Bacterial small subunit ribosomal RNA", at positions 524 to 776 of the family's 1533-position model. The record is from RNAcentral.
UACAGAGGUCCCAAGCGUUGUUCGGAUUCACUGGGCGUAAAGGGUGCGUAGGUGGCGGGGUAAGUCGGAUGUGAAAGCUCGGAGCUCAACUCCGAAAUUGCAUUGUAAACUACCUUGCUCGAGGGUUGGAGGGGGGACUGGAAUGCUUGGUGUAGCAGUGAAAUGCGUAGAUAUCAAGCGGAACACCAGUGGCGAAGGCGAGUCCCUGGACAACUCCUGACACUGAGGCACGAAAGCUAGGGGAGCAAACGGG